Molecule: ribosomal RNA, 519 nt
Filed under: uncultured bacterium
Lineage: Bacteria
Description: partial 16S ribosomal RNA
Rfam family: Bacterial small subunit ribosomal RNA
Source: RNAcentral
GACGAACGCUGGCGGCGUGCCUAAUACAUGCAAGUCGAGCGAGGCUGCCUUGAAGAUCGGAGUGCUUGCACUCUGUGAAACAAGAUACAGGCUAGCGGCGGACGGGUGAGUAACACGUGGGUAACCUGCCCAAGAGAUCGGGAUAACACCUGGAAACAGAUGCUAAUACCGGAUAACAACAGAUGAUGCCUAUCAACUGUUUAAAAGAUGGUUCUGCUAUCACUCUUGGAUGGACCUGCGGUGCAUUAGCUAGUUGGUAGGGUAACGGCCUACCAAGGCGAUGAUGCAUAGCCGAGUUGAGAGGCUGAUCGGCCACAUUGUGACUGAGACACGGCCCAAACUCCUACGGGAGGCAGCAGUAGGGAAUCUUCCACAAUGGACGCAAGUCUGAUGGAGCAACGCCGCGUGAGUGAAGAAGGGUUUCGGCUCGUAAAGCUCUGUUGUUGGUGAAGAAGGACAGGGGUAGUAACUGACCUUUGUUUGACGGUAAUCAAUUAGAAAGUCACGGCUAACUAAGUG